This 465-nucleotide ribosomal RNA is filed under the name uncultured bacterium. RNAcentral's name for it is "partial 16S ribosomal RNA". It matches the Rfam family "Bacterial small subunit ribosomal RNA", at positions 339 to 795 of the family's 1533-position model. The record is from RNAcentral.
CUACGGGUGGCACCAGUGGGGAAUAUUGGACAAUGGGGGAAACCCUGAUCCAGCAAUGCCGCGUGUGUGAAGAAGGCCUGCGGGUUGUAAAGCACUUUCGGUUGGGAGGACUGCUUCUAGCACUAAUAUUGUUGGAAGUUGACGUUACCUUCAGAAGAAGCACCGGCUAACUCCGUGCCAGCAGCCGCGGUAAUACGGAGGGUGCAGGCGUUAAUCGGAAUUACUGGGCGUAAAGCGCGCGUAGGCGGCUAGAUUAGUCGGGUGUGAAAGCCCCGGGCUUAACCUGGGAACUGCAUCCGAUACUGUCUAGCUUGAGUACAGGAGAGGAGAGUGGAAUUCCACAUGUAGCGGUGAAAUGCGUAGAUAUGUGGAGGAACACCAAUGGCGAAGGCAGCUCUCUGGCCUGAUACUGACGCUGAGGUGCGAAAGCGUGGGGAGCAAACAGGAUUAGAUACCCGCGUAGUC